Molecule: ribosomal RNA, 253 nt
Filed under: uncultured bacterium
Lineage: Bacteria
Description: partial 16S ribosomal RNA
Rfam family: Bacterial small subunit ribosomal RNA
Source: RNAcentral
GACGUAGGGCGCGAGCGUUGUCCGGAUUUAUUGGGCGUAAAGAGCUCGUAGGCGGCUUGUCGCGUCGACCGUGAAAACUUGGGGCUCAACCCCAAGCCUGCGGUCGAUACGGGCAGGCUCGAGUUCGGUAGGGGAGACUGGAAUUCCUGGUGUAGCGGUGAAAUGCGCAGAUAUCAGGAGGAACACCCGUGGCUAAGGCGGCUCUCUAGUACGGUACUGACGCUGAGACGCGAAAGCGUGGGGAGCGAACAGG